RNAcentral lists this long non-coding RNA (200 nucleotides) under Nicotiana benthamiana. RNAcentral describes it as "long non-coding RNA (NBEN_LNC034954)". Lineage: Eukaryota; Viridiplantae; Streptophyta; Magnoliopsida; Solanales; Solanaceae. The record is from RNAcentral.
UAAAAUAUGCCACGUGUCGACUGAACGCCUGUACAUUUAUCAAACCCUAAAUUCCCCUUUCCGACCUAUAUAUGUUCCCCUUUCGAGCCAUUUCCCUUCUCUCUUCUUCCCCUUUCACUCAAUUCUGCUCUCACUCUUGUCUGGGUAUGUACAAGCAUAUACUAUCGAAAUUUCCAGAAUCAAAUCCUCCGAAAUUCACC